Parus major (Great Tit) is the source of this 376-nucleotide long non-coding RNA. RefSeq lists it as uncharacterized. The transcript is spliced from 2 exons. NCBI's taxonomy places the organism in Eukaryota, Metazoa, Chordata, Aves, Passeriformes, Paridae. The record is from RefSeq and is a predicted model, not a curated record.
UGCAGCUGCCAUGACAGACAAACAUAAAGAAAACGUCCCAGAGGUGACAGCACAGCCAAGCAGCCCUGAGUACAGUAUGCAGGCAAAUGCUACAAACUUGCUUUUGCCAAGGUGCUGCCACGGCCUGAGCUCAGGAUGUGCCACUUCAGCUCACAGAUCAAAUUCCAGAUUCGGGUCAAGAAUCAGAGAGGCUGAAUUUUGACACCUGCCCACAUCAGAGUUGCCUUUCUCUGGACACAUGUGAGUGGAUUUUGGCCCUCUCCAAUUCGAGAGCUGGAGUCCAGUUUGGUUUGCUUGGAGAAAAGCUUAAACAUCCAUCAUUGAUUAGGUAUUGAAAAUCUUAAAUAAAUAGAAAAUUAAAUAAAACAUAAACCAA